UUAACCUCAGAGCAGGCAAGAUUACCCGCUGAA
RNAcentral lists this ribosomal RNA (33 nucleotides) under Eunicella cavolini. RNAcentral describes it as "Eunicella cavolinii partial 28S ribosomal RNA". The record is from RNAcentral. Lineage: Eukaryota; Metazoa; Cnidaria; Anthozoa; Malacalcyonacea; Eunicellidae.